Molecule: ribosomal RNA, 788 nt
Filed under: uncultured Brachybacterium sp.
Lineage: Bacteria; Bacillati; Actinomycetota; Actinomycetes; Micrococcales; Dermabacteraceae
Description: bacterial SSU rRNA
Rfam family: Bacterial small subunit ribosomal RNA
Source: RNAcentral
UGGGCGAAGCCUGAUGCAGCGACGCCGCGUGGGGGAUGACGGCCUUCGGGUUGUAAACCUCUUUCAGUAGGGAAGAAGCGAAAGUGACGGUACCUGCAGAAGAAGCGCCGGCUAACUACGUGCCAGCAGCCGCGGUAAUACGUAGGGCGCAAGCGUUGUCCGGAAUUAUUGGGCGUAAAGAGCUCGUAGGUGGCUUGUCGCGUCUGCCGUGAAAACCCGAGGCUCAACCUCGGGCGUGCGGUGGGUACGGGCAGGCUAGAGUGUGGUAGGGGAGACUGGAACUCCUGGUGUAGCGGUGAAAUGCGCAGAUAUCAGGAAGAACACCGAUGGCGAAGGCAGGUCUCUGGGCCAUUACUGACACUGAGGAGCGAAAGCAUGGGUAGCGAACAGGAUUAGAUACCCUGGUAGUCCAUGCCGUAAACGUUGGGCACUAGAUGUGGGGGACAUUCCACGUUUUCCGCGUCGUAGCUAACGCAUUAAGUGCCCCGCCUGGGGAGUACGGCCGCAAGGCUAAAACUCAAAGGAAUUGACGGGGGCCCGCACAAGCGGCGGAGCAUGCUGAUUAAUUCGAUGCAACGCGAAGAACCUUACCAAGGCUUGACAUGCACCGGGCGACUGCAGAGAUGUGGUUUUCUUCGGACUGGUGCACAGGUGGUGCAUGGUUGUCGUCAGCUCGUGUCGUGAGAUGUUGGGUUAAGUCCCGCAACGAGCGCAACCCUCGUUCUAUGUUGCCAGCACGUCAUGGUGGGGACUCAUAGGAGACUGCCGGGGUCAACUCGGAGGAAGGU